AGGACGAACGCUGGCGGCGUGCUUAACACAUGCAAGUCGAGCGGUAAGGCCCUUCGGGGUACACGAGCGGCGAACGGGUGAGUAACACGUGGGUGACCUGCCCCCUACUCUGGGAUAAGCCUGGGAAACUGGGUCUAAAUACCGGAUAUGACUACAUGUCGCAUGGUGUGUGGUGGAAAGUUUUUUCGGUGGGGAUGGGCCCGCGGCCUAUCAGCUUGUUGGUGGGUGAUGGCCUACCGAAGGCGACGACGGGUA
This 255-nucleotide ribosomal RNA is filed under the name uncultured bacterium. Its description in RNAcentral is "partial small subunit ribosomal RNA". It matches the Rfam family "Bacterial small subunit ribosomal RNA", at positions 26 to 285 of the family's 1533-position model. The record is from RNAcentral.